UUCAUGUUCAAAUUUCUAAAUUUUUUACCCAAGAUUGGGUCUUCAUUGACAGUUUUUUAUUUCAAUACCAUCGUUUAAAUCUUUGGAUUUUUGAUGUUCUAACUUUGACUCAACAUCUUCUUUCGGGGACCAUCCUUAUCGUCCUUAUCCGCGAUCGGAUCCUGUGAUGGCGAUGUUUCUUAAGUUUUUCGUCCUUUAAAUUGGGACAUGUUAAGAUAUGGGUGUUUAGACACGAUGACUGCAGCACGUGUGUGUUGUUGAACGGACAUCUUACCAUUUUGUUUCCUGGAUGAUUUGGACUACAUUUAAUGAGGUGUUUUGCCAAUCAAAGAGACAAAGGAUCCAGACAUAUGGAGCAAGAUACGCUGUCUUCAUGCUCAAAUUUUUACAUUUUUUUACCCAAGAUUGGGUCUUCAAAGUCAUUUCUUUAUUGACAAUUUUUUAUUUCUUUACCAUCGUUUAAAUCUUUGGAUUUUUGACGCUCUAACUUCGGAUUGUCUGCUUCAGUUUCGAUUGGAUCUUCCGUUCGCAAUGUCUCUUAAGUCUUUCGUCCUUUACAUUAGGACAUUUUGAUAUGUGGGUGUUUAGAUACGAUGACUGCAGCACAUGUGUGUUGUUGAAAGGACAUCUUACCAUUUUGUUUCCUGGAUGAUUGCCACUACAUUUAAUAAUGUGUUUUGCCAAUCUGGUCGCUAGAACUACAUGAUGUUUAUCAUACAUUCCUGCAUAAAAAUAACAUUUUGGUUUUUUCUAACUUUAUUGGAUUUUUUUACCUCUUUGUCUUCGUUUAAAUCUUUGAAUUUUUGACGUUCUAACUUCGGAUCGUCUGCUUUAGUUUCGGGGACCAUCUUUAUCAUCCUUAUCCGCGAUCGGAUCCUGUGAUGGCGAUGUUUUUUAAGUUUUUCGUCCAUUAGAUUCGGACAUUGAUAUAUGUGGGUGUUUAGACACGAUGACUGCAGCACGUGUGUGUUGUUGAACGGACGUCUUACCAUUUUGUUUCCUGGAUGAAUGCCACUACAUUUAAUAAUGUGUUUUGCCAAUCUGGUCGCUAGAACUACAUGAUGUUUUAUCAUCCAUUCCUGCAUAAAAAUAACAUUUUGUAAGUGGCAAUAAUUUAUUUAACACAUCUAUUAAAACUAACCAUUUUUUUCAGGUCUGUUUUUUUUUAACUUUAUUAAAUUUUUCACCUCUUUGCCUUUGUUUAAAUCUUUGAAUAUUUUGCGUUUCAAAGCAACUUUGUAGAUUUGAUCUAAUUGCUCCUUGAGGAAUUCCCACUCCGAACUGAAGACUUGACCGUCGUUGUAAAAGAGUAUCCGUUCCGGAAAGGUACCGUGAUGCUUCCGAAAUGCCUGGAGAGGACAUGACACAUAUAAAGACAUCUGAUCGGAUAGUUCUUUAUAAAUUUUGUCCAGCUGCUCCUUGAGGAAUUGAACUUGCUUGUUGAUCAAGUUUCAAGUUAUAAAUUCAUCUUUAUCUAUUUAUAAUUUUAUUCCUAUUUCUUUUGUUUUCUUAUCAUGAUUAGUUUCUAAUAACUUCACUGACAGCCCUCGGCUGUGAGUAGGGGCAUAGCUAGCCGCACUGGCAAAUAAAACUCCCCCAACGUGUCGGUGUAGUUAUUAGAUUUAAUUGUAAUUUCUUAUAGGCUUUCAUUUAACUUUAACAUUAUUUGUAAAUUUUAACAUAUAUAUAAAAAGAAUUGUAAAUUAAUACGA
Molecule: long non-coding RNA, 1712 nt
Organism: Drosophila innubila
Lineage: Eukaryota; Metazoa; Arthropoda; Insecta; Diptera; Drosophilidae
Exons: 4
Source: RefSeq, a predicted model, not a curated record